CUACGGGUGGCAGCAGUGGGGAGUUUUGCGCAAUGGGCGAAAGCCUGACGCAGCAACGCCGCGUGAAGGAUGAAGGCCUUUGGGUCGUAAACUUCUGUCAGAGGGGAAGAAAUACUCGAAAGAGAGCUGACGGUACCCUCAAAGGAAGCACCGGCUAACUCCGUGGCCAGCAGCCGCGGUAAUACGGAGGGUGCAAGCGUUGUUCGGAAUUAUUGGGCGUAAAGCGCAUGUAGGCGGACUGUUAAGUCUGGUGUGAAAGCCCGGGGCUCAACCCCGGAAGUGCAUUGGAUACUGGCAGUCUUGAGUAUGGGAGAGGAAAGUGGAAUUCCGAGUGUAGGAGUGAAAUCCGUAGAUAUUCGGAGGAACACCAGUGGCGAAGGCGGCUUUCUGGACCAAUACUGACGCUGAGAUGCGAAAGCGUGGGUAGCAAACAGGAUUAGAUACCCCCGUAGUC
This 454-nucleotide ribosomal RNA is filed under the name uncultured bacterium. RNAcentral describes it as "partial 16S ribosomal RNA". It matches the Rfam family "Bacterial small subunit ribosomal RNA", at positions 339 to 795 of the family's 1533-position model. The record is from RNAcentral.